This 290-nucleotide ribosomal RNA is filed under the name uncultured bacterium. RNAcentral's name for it is "partial 16S ribosomal RNA". It matches the Rfam family "Bacterial small subunit ribosomal RNA", at positions 773 to 1060 of the family's 1533-position model. The record is from RNAcentral.
GUGGAUUAGAUACCCUGGUAGUCCACGCCGUAAACGAUGGGUGCUAGACGUUGGCGAGCUUGCUCGUCAGUGUCGCAGCUAACGCGUUAAGCACCCCGCCUGGGGAGUACGGCCGCAAGGUUGAAACUCAAAGGAAUUGACGGGGGCCCGCACAAGCGGUGGAGCAUGUGGUUCAAUUCGACGCAACGCGAAGAACCUUACCAGCCCUUGACAUGUGACUCGCCGGGAGCAGAGACGCUCCCUUCGGUUCGGCCGGAGUCAACACAGGUGCUGCACGGCCGUCGCCAGCU